UAUGCUUCCUAUCCUGAGGGUCGCUUAAACAGAACAGUACCCACAGAAAAGCUCUCAUCACUUGUGCCUUCAAAUCAACCAAAUAUAAAGGCACUACCCUUUCUACUUUCCCUCCUGGCUAUAUGCUUCCUAUCCUGAGGGUCGCUUAAACAGAACAGUACCCACAGAAAAGCUCUCAUCACUUGUGCCUUCAAAUCAACCAAAUAUAAAGGCACUACCCUUUCUACUUUCCCUCCUGGCUAUAUGCUACCUAUCCUGAGGGUCGCUUAAACUGAACAGUACCCACAGAAAAGCUCUCAUCACUUGUGCCUUCAAAUCAACCAAAUAUAAAGGUUAAUCACUUUAUCUACAGUCUAUUUUAACUAAAAUAUAUCCUGUUAUAUAAGUAUAACCGCUGGUGCACUGGGUUCUAAGAAACAGCAGUUAAGUCCACAUAAAUUAAAGUUAAUGCUAUAUCCCCCAAAGCUUCUGGUAACAAACAGAGCUCCUAAAAAUAAAGUAUAUAAUCUAUUGGGUUACUUCCUGCAUUAACAUUCUACUUGCCUGUUUUCCACUUGCCCAUAGUCAAUUUGGAACUGGAAAAAGAAAAA
Molecule: long non-coding RNA, 590 nt
Organism: Protopterus annectens (West African lungfish)
Lineage: Eukaryota; Metazoa; Chordata; Ceratodontiformes; Protopteridae
Exons: 2
Source: RefSeq, a predicted model, not a curated record